This 751-nucleotide ribosomal RNA is filed under the name Chromera velia. Its description in RNAcentral is "partial Bacterial large subunit ribosomal RNA". It matches the Rfam family "Bacterial large subunit ribosomal RNA", at positions 492 to 1243 of the family's 2925-position model. The record is from RNAcentral. Lineage: Eukaryota; Chromeraceae.
GAACCAGUACCGUGAGGGAAAGGCGAAAAGAACCCCGGAGAGGGGAGUGAAAUAGAACCUGAAACCGUAUGCGUACAAGCAGUGGGAGCCUGUCCUUGUGAUGGGUGACUGCGUACCUUUUGUAUAAUGGGUCAGCGACUUAGUGUCUGUAGCGAGCUUAACCGUCUAGGGGAGGCGUAGGGAAACCGAGUCUUAAUAGGGCGUUGAGUUGCAGGCACUAGACCCGAAACCGGGCGAUCUAUCCAUGGCCAGGGUGAAGGUUAGGUAACACUGACUGGAGGCCCGAACCCACGUAUGUUGAAAAAUGCGGGGAUGAGCUGUGGAUCGGAGUGAAAGGCUAAUCAAGCCCGGAGAUAGCUGGUUCUCCUCGAAAUCUAUUUAGGUAGAGCGUCGUGUCUCACCCUGGGGGGUAGAGCACUGUUUGGGCUAGGGGGUCAUCCCGACUUACCAACCCCAUGCAAACUCCGAAUACCCAGGAGUGCAAUCACGGCAGACAGACGGCGGGUGCUAACGUCCGUCGUCGAGAGGGCAACAACCCAGACCGCCAGCUAAGGUCCCUAAUACCAGUUAAGUGGGAAACGAUGUGGGAAGGCUAAGACAGCUAGGAGGUUGGCUUAGAAGCAGCCAUCCUUUAAAGAUAGCGUAACAGCUCACUGGUCUAAAUAAGUUGUCUUGCGGCGAAGAUGUAACGGGGCUCAAGCCAUGAGCCGAAGCUUAGGAUGCGUUUAUCGCAUGGUAGCAGAGCGUAGUG